UACGUAGGCAGCAAGCGUUGUUCGGAGUUACUGGGCGUAAAGGGUGUGUAGGCGGUUCUUUAAGUUUGGUGUGAAAUCUCCCGGCUCAACCGGGAGGGUGCGCCGAAUACUGAGGGACUCGAGUGCGGGAGAGGAAAGUGGAAUUCCUGGUGUAGCGGUGAAAUGCGUAGAUAUCAGGAGGAACACCGGUGGUGUAGACGGCUUUCUGGACCGUAACUGACGCUGAGACACGAAAGCGUGGGGAGCAAAAGGG
Molecule: ribosomal RNA, 253 nt
Filed under: uncultured bacterium
Lineage: Bacteria
Description: partial 16S ribosomal RNA
Rfam family: Bacterial small subunit ribosomal RNA
Source: RNAcentral